Molecule: unclassified non-coding RNA, 343 nt
Filed under: soil metagenome
Description: partial contains 5.8S ribosomal RNA, internal transcribed spacer 2, and large subunit ribosomal RNA
Rfam family: 5.8S ribosomal RNA (bases 1-120)
Source: RNAcentral
GAUGAAGAACGUAGCGAAAUGCGAUAAGUAAUGUGAAUUGCAGAAUUCAGUGAAUCAUCGAAUCUUUGAACGCACAUUGCGCCCGCUAGUAUUCUGGCGGGCAUGCCUGUCCGAGCGUCAUUUCAACCCUCAAGCCCCCGGUCUUGGUGUUGGGGAUCGGCGAGCCUCCGCGCCCGCCGUCCCCUAAAUCUAGUGGCGGUCUCGCUGUAGCUUCCUCUGCGUAGUAGCACACCUCGCACUGGGAAACAGCGCGGCCACGCCGUUAAACCCCCAACUUCUGAACGUUUGACCUCGGAUCAGGUAGGAAUACCCGCUGAACUUAAGCAUAUCAAUAAGCGGAGGA